UGAGCGUGCUUUCGAUACGGGUUGACUUGAGGAAGGUAGGGGAGAAUGGAUUUCCUGGUGGAGCGGUGGAAUGCGCAGAUAUCAGGAGGAACACCAGUGGCGAAGGCGGUUCUCUGGGCCUUUCCUGACGCUGAGGAGCGAAAGCGUGGGGAGCGAACAGGCUUAGAUACCCUGGUAGUCCACGCUGUAAACGGUGGGUACUAGGUGUGGGGUCCAUUCCACGGGUUCCGCGCCGUAGCUAACGCUUUAAGUACCCCGCCUGGGGAGUACGGCCGCAAGGCUAAAACUCAAAGGAAUUGACGGGGCCCCGCACAAGCGGCGGAGCAUGCGGAUUAAUUCGAUGCAACGCGUAGAACCUUACCUGGGUUUGACAUGGAUCGGGAGUGCUCAGAGAUGGGUGUGCCUCUUUUGGGGUCGGUUCACAGGUGGUGCAUGGCUGUCGUCAGCUCGUGUCGUGAGAUGUUGGGUUAAGUCCCGCAACGAGCGCAACCCUUGUUCACUGUUGCCAGCACGUUAUGGUGGGGACUCAGUGGAGACCGCCGGGGUCAACUCGGAGGAAGGUGGGGAUGACGUCAAGUCAUCAUGCCCCUUAUGUCCAGGGCUUCACGCAUGCUACAAUGGCUGGUACAGAGAGUGGCGAGCCUGUGAGGGUGAGCGAAUCUCGGAAAGCCGGUCUCAGUUCGGAUUGGGGUCUGCAACUCGACCUCAUGAAGUCGGAGUCGCUAGUAAUCGCAGAUCAGCAACGCUGCGGUGAAUACGUUCCCGGGGCUUGUACACACCGCCCGUCAAGUCAUGAAAGUUGGUAACACCCGAAGCCGGUGGCCUAACCGUUGUGGGGGAGCCGUCGAAGGUGGGACUGGUGAUUAGGACUAAGUCGUAACAAGGUACCAAUCCCGCGGCCAGGCGGCCG
RNAcentral lists this ribosomal RNA (910 nucleotides) under uncultured Actinomycetes bacterium. RNAcentral's name for it is "bacterial SSU rRNA". It matches the Rfam family "Bacterial small subunit ribosomal RNA", at positions 616 to 1533 of the family's 1533-position model. Lineage: Bacteria; Bacillati; Actinomycetota; Actinomycetes. The record is from RNAcentral.